UUUAAAUCCUUUAACGAGGAUCAAUUGGAGGGCAAGUCUGGUGCCAGCAGCCGCGGUAAUUCCAGCUCCAAUAGCGUAUACUAAAAUUGUUGCAGUUAAAAAGCUCGUAGUUGGAUCUCGGGUGCCGGCAGGCGGUUGGCCGCAAGGCCUCAACUGCCCGCUCCGGCCCGGCCUCCUGGUCGUGCCCUGGUUCUCUUGACCGAGUGCCUUGGGUGACCGGAACUUUUACUUUGAUAAAAUUAGAGUGUUCAAGGCAGGCUGUCGGCCUGAAUGGUGGUGCAUGGAAUAAUGGAAUAGGACCUCGGUUCCGUUCUGUUGGUUCUCCGGAAGCGGAGGUAAUGAUUAAGAGGGACGGCCGGGGGCAUUCGUAUUACGGUGUUAGAGGUGAAAUUCUGUGAUCAUCGUAAGACGCCCAGAAGCGAAAGCGUUUGCCAAGAACGUUUUCAUUAAUCAAGAACGAAAGUCAGAGGUUCGAAGACGAUCAGAUACCGUCGUAGUUCUGACCAUAAACGAUGCCGACUAGCGAUCUAUCGGAGUUGCAUCGCGACCCGGCAGGCUGCCCCCGGGAAACCAAAGUCUUUGGGUUCCGGGGGGAGUAUGGUUGCAAAACGGAAACUUAAAGGAAUUGACGGAAGGGCACCACCAGGAGUGGAGCCUGCGGCUUAAUUUGACUCAACGCGGGGAAACCUACCAGGCCCGGACACUGUAAGG
This 711-nucleotide ribosomal RNA is filed under the name Bathyglycinde sibogana. Its description in RNAcentral is "SSU rRNA". It matches the Rfam family "Eukaryotic small subunit ribosomal RNA", at positions 524 to 1238 of the family's 1831-position model. The record is from RNAcentral. Lineage: Eukaryota; Metazoa; Annelida; Polychaeta; Phyllodocida; Goniadidae.